RNAcentral lists this ribosomal RNA (505 nucleotides) under Euchrysops cnejus. RNAcentral describes it as "partial 16S ribosomal RNA". Lineage: Eukaryota; Metazoa; Arthropoda; Insecta; Lepidoptera; Lycaenidae. The record is from RNAcentral.
UGUCUUUUUGAUUUUAAUUUAAAGUCUAAUCUGCCCACUGAUUUAUUAAAGGGCUGCAGUAAUUUGACUGUACAAAGGUAGCAUAAUCAUUAGCCUUUUAAUUGAAGGCUUGUAUGAAAGAUUUGAUGAAAUAUAAACUGUCUCUAAUUUAAAAUUAAAAUUUAAUUUUUUAGUUAAAAAGCUAAAAUAAUUUUAAAAGACGAGAAGACCCUAUAGAGUUUUAUAAUUAAUAAUUUUAAAUAAUUAUAUAAAAUUUUAAUAUUUAAUAUUAUUCAUUAUUUUAUUGGGGUGAUAAAAAAAUUUAAUUAACUUUUUUUCUUGUUUAUCAAAAAUAAAUGAUUAAUUGAUCCUGUUUAAAGAUUAAAAGAAAUAAUUACCUUAGGGAUAACAGCGUAAUAUUUUUUUUUAGUACAAAUAAAAAAAAAAGUUUGCGACCUCGAUGUUGGAUUAAGAUAAAAUUUAAAUGCAAAAGUUUAAAAUUUUGAUCUGUUCGAUCAUUAAAAUC